GGCUCAGUGGUGUAGUGGUACGCCCCGUCAUACAUUGAAGGCUUUCAUCACAUGCUUGCAACGGAGAUCCUUGUUCGACUCAAGGCUGGACCA
Mycena polygramma is the source of this 93-nucleotide non-coding RNA. The record is from the annotation of a GenBank genome assembly. NCBI's taxonomy places the organism in Eukaryota, Fungi, Basidiomycota, Agaricomycetes, Agaricales, Mycenaceae.